This 1865-nucleotide long non-coding RNA is filed under the name Homo sapiens (human). Its description in RNAcentral is "HSALNT0384177". The record is from RNAcentral. Lineage: Eukaryota; Metazoa; Chordata; Mammalia; Primates; Hominidae.
CACGCCAGCCCUGGGCUCAUGUGCAAUGGGAGACCUGCAGAGGGCUCAGGCAGGGAGGGAUUUCUUUUCUAGUAAUAAAAUCACUUCAGCUUUGGCUACUGCAUGGAAAUAGAUUGAGAGAGGCAAGGCCAGGGACGGCAGCUAGAAGGCGGAGACUGCUGUCCAGGCUGGGGGUGACAGAGCCCCUGGGGACAGAGUGAAACUCUGUCUCAGAAAAACAAAACAAAACAAAAAAGAACUUGAGCAGUGGCAGAGGGUAGAUCCCAGCAUGUGGCCCGGGGUAAGGAGAGGCGGGACCAGGGUCGAGCCAUGGGCGGCCCCUCAGAGCUGGGGUCUCAGGCCAGAGACAGUCCUUCCAGGAUAAAGGGACAUCAGAGGUUUCUGCAGGAUGCGAAGGAGGAAAGCCUGCGGGGCUCUUUGAGGCUCUGCAGAGAGAAGUCCGGAUCCAGCUGCCUCCUUCCUCAGGAAGGCUGGGGGCAGCAGGGCCCAGAGAGCCUGGUGACAUCAUUCCUUCCCACUGGUCACCUCCCUCAGUCCUGCAGGAGCUGCUGGGACAGGGGCUGGAAGCAAGCAGGGCCCCUCAGGGUGACCAGGGCCACCAAAGGUGACUGUCGGGGUCGCUGUCCAGCUGUUUCCCCUGCUGGACACUAGGCUGCGCCAAGGAGUGCGUGCUCCAAAACUCAAGAGUGCAUCCAAUGCUCCAAACGGGCAGACCAGGGAGGGGCAUACUGACCCCCAGCAAUGUUCCUGGUCCCCAAGCCCCCCACACCCUCGAGCACACCCCAGUGUCCCUCCCAGACCGUGGGCUCAGCCCUAGGAGAGCUGCUCAGGGAGCCUCCCCUGUGGGUGUUUGCUCCUCCCCAGGCUGUGGCCCAUUUCCCCUUCCUCCUUCCUGCUCAGCCCAAAGGCAGGAGUCAUGGAACCCCAGGAAAGGACGGAACAGAACAGGACAGGGCCCCCAGCCCCAUCUUUAUCUCACCGGCUGCUGCUGGCUGCCAAGCCUCCCCUGAAUGGGGGAGGGUGGUCUGUGUGAGUCAGCGGAGGCACGAAGUGGAGGAAGACGGGAGCCUCUGCCAGGCCCGUUGAGCGUGGCCUCAGAAAUGCGCCGCUGGGUUAGGGUCUCCCCGACCGAGGCUCGAAUCCAGGUCGAAGGGUCGCCGGAGCGAUGGUUGGAGAAUGUGGAAGGAGCUGGAGGACACCCGAGUAUUCUUAAAGCAAUCCCCAUGAUUUUUUGAACCUGCCCAAAGGCCAGAUGUCAUCAGCAGCUGAACAGCAUUCCAGAAACCAGCUGCAAAGACAGAAGCAGAACAACUGGUUUGGUGGAGAGAUCUGAUAACAAAAAGUUGGGAAACAGGUAAAAUAAUAACUUGGGGUAGAAGUUAUGCUUGUGUUUCUCCAGGCCAAAAUCAACAGCUGAUCUGGAUACCAUCAAGACACCUGAAAUCUUAUCAUGAGCCAGAUGCUGAGGAAGAGACUCCGGGAGGAUCCCGAGGACGGCCCAGUUGCAGCCAUGUUGAGACUGACGCUGAGGAGGACCCCAACUGUCACGAGCAACACCUGUCGAACACAGCCACCCACCUGGGGACAGAUCAAGAAGCUGUCACAGAUGGCAGAAGAAAACCUGAGGAAAGCGGGACAACCAGUCACAAUGAGUAAUUUCAUGGUAGCUAUGAUAGCAGUUAUCACCACUGCUUCUGCAGAUGUGGAUCCUAACUCCUGCGAGAAGUAACUCACAGUGACAAAGCUGCCUUUGCUUUUAUCGAGUUGCAAAUCAAAGAAGGGGGGACAUGUUGGGAACAGGCCCCCCAAGAUCUGGCCAUAAACUGGCCCCAAAACUGGCUAUAAACAAAAUCUGCAGCACUGUG